This 580-nucleotide ribosomal RNA is filed under the name uncultured rumen bacterium. RNAcentral's name for it is "bacterial SSU rRNA". It matches the Rfam family "Bacterial small subunit ribosomal RNA", at positions 192 to 771 of the family's 1533-position model. The record is from RNAcentral.
CCCCGCGAGGCAAAGCGAGAGCGGGACGGGACGGGCAUGCGUCCCAUUAGCUUGUUGGCGGGGUGAAGGCCCACCAAGGCGACGAUGGGUAGGGGAUCUGAGAGGACGGUCCCCCACACUGGUACUGAGACACGGACCAGACUCCUGCGGGAGGCAGCAGUAAGGGAUAUUGGUCAAUGGGCGGAAGCCUGAACCAGCCAUGCCGCGUGAGGGAAUGAGGCCCUACGGGUCGUGAACCUCUUUUAUUCGGGGACAACGUCGGCGUCGCGAACGCCGUGUGAGGGUACCGAAGGAAUAAGCGUCGGCUAACUCCGUGCCAGCAGCCGCGGUAAUACGGAGGACGCGAGCGUUAUCCGGAUUCAUUGGGUUUAAAGGGUGCGCAGGCGGCUCGGCAAGUCAGCGGUGAAAGCCCGGGGCCCAACCCCGGAAGUGCCGUUGAUACUGUCGGGCUGGAAUGCGGUCGAGGCGGGCGGAACGUGGCGUGUAGCGGUGAAAUGCGUAGAUAUGCCACAGAACGCCGAUAGCGGAGGCAGCUCGCCAGGCCUGCAUUGACGCUCGGGCACGAAAGCGUGGGGAUCGA